Molecule: ribosomal RNA, 253 nt
Filed under: uncultured bacterium
Lineage: Bacteria
Description: partial 16S ribosomal RNA
Rfam family: Bacterial small subunit ribosomal RNA
Source: RNAcentral
UACGUAGGGUGCGAGCGUUGUCCGGAAUUAUUGGGCGUAAAGGGCUCGUAGGCGGUCUGUCGCGUCGGGAGUGAAAACACGGGGCUUAACCCCGUGCCUGCUUCCGAUACGGGCAGACUAGAGGUAUGCAGGGGAGAACGGAAUUCCUGGUGUAGCGGUGAAAUGCGCAGAUAUCAGGAGGAACACCGGUGGCGAAGGCGGUUCUCUGGGCAUUACCUGACGCUGAGACGCGAAAGCGUGGGGAGCGAACAGG